This 303-nucleotide ribosomal RNA is filed under the name uncultured bacterium. RNAcentral describes it as "bacterial SSU rRNA". It matches the Rfam family "Bacterial small subunit ribosomal RNA", at positions 355 to 650 of the family's 1533-position model. The record is from RNAcentral.
UAGGGAAUCUUCGGCAAUGGGCGAAAGCCUGACCGAGCAACGCCGCGUGAAUGAAGAAGGCCUUCGGGUUGUAAAAUUCUGUUAUAAGGGAAGAAAGGUGAUAGGAGGAAAUGACUAUCAAUUGACGGUACCUUAUGAGAAAGCCACGGCUAACUACGUGCCAGCAGCCGCGGUAAUACGUAGGUGGCAAGCGUUAUCCGGAAUUAUUGGGCGUAAAGAGCGCGCAGGUGGUUAAUUAAGUCUGAUGUGAAAGCCCACGGCUUAACCGUGGAGGGUCAUUGGAAACUGGUUGACUUGAGUGCA